UUUUUUUUUUAAGUCUCAAACAGCUUCAAUAUCAUUAUAUGGAAGGUAUGUCACAACGAAUACAGAUAACAGAAGAAAAGAGACAUAAUUAUUCUAGAUCAAUCCCCCACCAAAAGUACUUCUAAUAUAUGACAAGGAAUGUUACAAUAAGAAGAAAAAAAAACUCUCAAAACCGAAUAAACACCCUCUACAUAGGAGAAAGUUACAUUGAGCAGCACGUCGGUUGGCUCUCUAUAUGGAGAUCAUAAGAAUUCCAAUUCGUUCACGAAGGAAGUUGUGCUUUGUGUGUGAAUAGGGCUCCAACAAUGACUCUAGGCUAGGAUCGGUACCCGUCUUCAAAGUGAAGGUUCUAUCUGGUGGUGCUCAAGGUUCCGCAGUACAAUUCUUGCAAAAAUUUUGGC
Molecule: unclassified non-coding RNA, 401 nt
Filed under: Hevea brasiliensis (rubber tree)
Lineage: Eukaryota; Viridiplantae; Streptophyta; Magnoliopsida; Malpighiales; Euphorbiaceae
Source: RNAcentral